This 253-nucleotide ribosomal RNA is filed under the name uncultured bacterium. RNAcentral's name for it is "partial 16S ribosomal RNA". It matches the Rfam family "Bacterial small subunit ribosomal RNA", at positions 524 to 776 of the family's 1533-position model. The record is from RNAcentral.
UACGUAGGGUGCGAGCGUUAAUCGGAAUUACUGGGCGUAAAGCGUGCGCAGGCGGUUUUUUAAGCCAGAUGUGAAAUCCCCGGGCUUAACCUGGGAAUGGCAUUUGGGACUGCAAGGCUUGAGUGCGGCAGAGGAGACUGGAAUUCCUGGUGUAGCGGUGAAAUGCGUAGAUAUUGGGAAGAACACCUGAGGCGAAGGCGGGUUGCUGGGCCGACACUGACGCUGAGGCGCGAAAGCCAGGGGAGCGAACGGG